AUUAUUUGUUUGCAUAAGAGUGAACUGAAACCUUUAUAGCACCAAAAUAGAGCAAUGUCAAAGCAAGCAUUUUUAUCAUCAAUCAUUUAACAUUAAAGGAUUUAAAGAGGAACUUUCAUUUAUCUAAAACGUGCACCAUUGAAUAAAGCACUAAAAAUCACCUAUAAAUUGUGUUAAAAGGACUCUCCACCACUUAAAAAACCCCUCAAAAAACAUUAUCUAGUAG
This is a non-coding RNA of Pelobates cultripes (western spadefoot toad), 226 nucleotides long. The record is from the annotation of a GenBank genome assembly. NCBI's taxonomy places the organism in Eukaryota, Metazoa, Chordata, Amphibia, Anura, Pelobatidae.